RNAcentral lists this ribosomal RNA (36 nucleotides) under Coldenia procumbens. Its description in RNAcentral is "partial 26S ribosomal RNA". Lineage: Eukaryota; Viridiplantae; Streptophyta; Magnoliopsida; Boraginales; Coldeniaceae. The record is from RNAcentral.
CCGAGACCCCAGGUCAGGCGGGAUCACCCGCUGAGU